UAGGGAAUCUUCCACAAAGGACGCAAGUCUGAUGGAGCAACGCCGCGUGAGUGAAGAAGGUUUUCGGAUCGUAAAGCUCUGUUGUUGGUGAAGAAGGAUAGAGGCAGUAACUGGUCUUUAUUUGACGGUAAUCAACCAGAAAGUCACGGCUAACUACGUGCCAGCAGCCGCGGUAAUACGUAGGUGGCAAGCGUUGUCCGGAUUUAUUGGGCGUAAAGCGAGCGCAGGCGGAAUGAUAAGUCUGAUGUGAAAGCCCACGGCUCAACCGUGGAACUGCAUCGGAAACUGUCAUUCUUGAGUGCAGAAGAGGAGAGUGGAAUUCCAUGUGUAGCGGUGGAAUGCGUAGAUAUAUGGAAGAACACCAGUGGCGAAGGCGGCUCUCUGGUCUGCAACUGACGCUGAGGCUCGAAAGCAUGGGUAGCGAACAGG
RNAcentral lists this ribosomal RNA (429 nucleotides) under bacterium. RNAcentral's name for it is "partial 16S ribosomal RNA". It matches the Rfam family "Bacterial small subunit ribosomal RNA", at positions 355 to 776 of the family's 1533-position model. The record is from RNAcentral.